UUCGCAAUGCCCGAAAGGGUGACGAAGCGACGCCGCGUGGGUGAGGAAGGCCUUCGGGUUGUAAAGCCCUGUCAGGAGUUAAGAAAUAUAGGUACGCUAAUAUCGUAUCUAUUUGACAAAGGCUCCAAAGGAAGCCACGGCUAACUCUGUGCCAGCAGCCGCGGUAAUACAGAGGUGGCAAGCGUUGUUCGGAAUUAUUGGGCGUAAAGAGCACGUAGGUGGAUUUGUAAGUCAGAUGUGAAAGCCUUCUGUUCAACGGAAGAAUUGCAUCUGAAACUACAAACCUUGAGUAUAGGAGGGGAGAAUGGAACUUCUGGUGGAGCGGUGAAAUGCGUAGAUAUCAGAAGGAACGCCGGCGGCGAAAGCGAUUCUCUGGCCUAUUACUGACACUCAGUGUGCGAAAGCUAGGGGAGCAAACGGGAUUAGAUACCCCGGUAGUCCUAGCCGUAAACGAUGGGCACUAAGUAGA
This 469-nucleotide ribosomal RNA is filed under the name uncultured anaerobic ammonium-oxidizing bacterium. Its description in RNAcentral is "bacterial SSU rRNA". It matches the Rfam family "Bacterial small subunit ribosomal RNA", at positions 365 to 824 of the family's 1533-position model. The record is from RNAcentral.